RNAcentral lists this long non-coding RNA (2159 nucleotides) under Gossypium raimondii (Peruvian cotton). RNAcentral describes it as "long non-coding RNA (GRAI_LNC005254)". The record is from RNAcentral. Lineage: Eukaryota; Viridiplantae; Streptophyta; Magnoliopsida; Malvales; Malvaceae.
UUCAGAUUUUGUUGUCUAAACAUUGAUUGAACCAAAUGACAAGAUGUCGUGUUGGUGGCAAAGCUUCAAUGAACCGACAAGCGAUGUUUACCAGGCAAAAAGAAAAGGUCUUCUAGGAGAAGAAAAUUUUUGCAAUUGUGCAUGAGCAUUUGGUAUGACACCUUGGGGAUGAGGUAAAGGACCAAAGAGUUUCACAUUCAAUAUCAUUGAAUUGCGAUAGGAGAAGAUUGAGAAAAGUCAUAUUUCUACCCUUAAAUUACUGUGAGAGAAUGAUGGUACAAAUUUUGAUGUUCCAGUGGAUUGAACUUUGACGUGUACAGUGGGGGGCAAUCAGAUUAAGUGUUUCUUUGGAUAUGCUAGCCGAGCAAGAAGGCGGUGUAGCACGUCAGUGAUAAAGCCUUAAUAAGCUUUUGUGUGAUGAUAACCUAAGCAUUAAGGAAUCAUUUUCAUGACAUUUUGCAUGUCAUUCAUACACAUCUCGUUAGGAGCAUUUGAUUCGUUCUGAUCAUAUCAUCCUAAUCACUAGGCACAAUUAGGUUCAUAAAAUAGAACAUACAGGUCAUGUUCCCCAUAGAACAGAUCAAUGAAGACAUCAGAUCUUGCUUUCCUGUACUGACUGCGAAGCAGAUCAAAGACAACAGAUCUUGCCGUCCUGCCUUGAUAGUGAAGCAGAUCGAAGAUACAAGUUUUGUCUCCAUCGGUUGCGGUGGAACUGGUUGAAGAUAGCAGAUCUGGCCUUCCUGCGUUAACAGCGAAGCAGAUUGAAAACAAAGCCUUGUCUCCAUCGGUUGUAGUAGAGUUGAUUGAAGAAUGUCAGAUCUUAUCUCCCUGAGAUUACAGCAGAGCAGAUCGAAGCUAGUAAUCCUAUCUCCCUGAGAUUACAGUGGAGUGGAUUAAAAUAAAGGAUCUUAUCUCUCUGAAGUUACAGCAGAGAAGAUCGUAUCAGGUCUUAUCUCCCUGAGAUUAUAGCGGAGCAGAUUGAAGUUAGUAAUCCUAUCUCCCUGAGAUUACAGUGGAGCGGAUUAAAACAAAGGAUCUUAUCUCUCUGAAGUUACAGUAGAGUAGAUCGCAUCAGGUUUUACCUCCCUGUGGUUACAGUGGAGAACAUUGAAGCCAGUAAUUCUAUCUCCCCGACGUUGCGGAGUGGGUCGAAGCGCCAAUGCCUAUACCUCUGAAGUUGCAGUUGAAGUUACAAGUCUUAUCUCCCUGACGUUGCAGUAGGACAGACUAAAACCAUGAAUCUCACCCCCCUGAAGUUACAACAGAGUGGAUUGAAGCUACAAGUCUUGUCUUUUUGAAGUUGUAGCGGAAUGGAUCGAAGUGACAAGACACGGUAGACUGGAAUGAAGCUACUUGAAGAAGAAAGGCACCAAGAAGUCAAGACUCGGCGAGACCGGGCAAAAUUGGGCUUUCUUAGUCUUUGCUCUGUUAUCGUUACACGACAACGAGCAAAGAGUGGCAGCUGUACAAGCCCAAUUUUUAGCCCAAAACCCAAUUAACCCAAGAACCCAAAAUAAUCACAUACCAGCAAAACCCUCUACCCAAUACAACCCAAAAACCCCACCUAAACCUAACCCAGCUACCAGCCCAAUUACAAUUAACCUAAACCAGACCCGAAGCCCACUUAGCCCAGGCCCGAUUUCAAAAAAUAUCUGCCUAGGGUUUCAGAGACUGAAACCCUAGGCGCCGCCCCUUGACUUUUGGCUUCCUGCCAUCGCCGUCACCGCCGUUGGACGUCCCAUCCGCGUCCAUCACGUCGGCCUCCCCCCACUUGCGCCGUCACCUGCAAAAGAAACAAAACGAAGAAAAGAGGGCAAUAGAAACAGUGGCAUUCGGCUAUAAAAGCCAAGAAAAAUGUAUUUUGAAGCUCUUGGCUUCCUAUUUUGUAACCAAAAAGUAACAGACAUUAGCAAAAUAAAUAAAAAACAAGAGAAAUAUUAAGAGGUGAUUUUCGUUCUCCCGUUUCAGAUUUUUUUAUUUUUUUCUUUUUUUAUAUACAUCUACAAACAAAGAAACGAUUUAAAAGGGAAAGAAAAAGAAAGGAGUACUUGAGCCGUUCCGUUUGCGCCGUCGCCGGAGUUCAUUUUUAGGUUACCGAAAUCGGACCAUGAAGGCGACGUUUGGGGCUUCGCUCCUUGGCCCUACGGCUCUAAAGCCCG